RNAcentral lists this transfer RNA (74 nucleotides) under Nippostrongylus brasiliensis. It matches the Rfam family "tRNA". Rfam says of the family: Transfer RNA (tRNA) molecules are approximately 80 nucleotides in length. Their secondary structure includes four short double-helical elements and three loops (D, anti-codon, and T loops). The record is from Rfam by way of RNAcentral. Lineage: Eukaryota; Metazoa; Nematoda; Chromadorea; Rhabditida; Heligmosomidae.
GUCGCAGUGGCGUAAUGGUUAGCGCACGAGCCUCGAAUUGGCGCGAGAUGCGAGUUCGAAUCCCGCCUGAGAUG